UGUAACAACUCUCAACAACGGAUAUCUCGACUCUCACAUCGAUGAAAAACAUAGCAAAAUGCGAUACUUUGUGUGAAUUGGAGAAUCCCAUGAACCAUCAAGUCUUUGAAUGCAAGUUAAGCAUGAAGCCUUCCUGUCAAGCGCACAUCUGCUGGAUGUCACAC
This 164-nucleotide ribosomal RNA is filed under the name Selenicereus undatus. RNAcentral's name for it is "Hylocereus undatus 5.8S ribosomal RNA". It matches the Rfam family "5.8S ribosomal RNA". Rfam says of the family: 5.8S ribosomal RNA (5.8S rRNA) is a component of the large subunit of the eukaryotic ribosome. It is transcribed by RNA polymerase I as part of the 45S precursor that also contains 18S and 28S rRNA. Lineage: Eukaryota; Viridiplantae; Streptophyta; Magnoliopsida; Caryophyllales; Cactaceae. RNAcentral also lists the same sequence under 3 other names. The record is from RNAcentral.